Long non-coding RNA from Raphanus sativus (radish), 945 nucleotides. RefSeq lists it as uncharacterized. Lineage: Eukaryota; Viridiplantae; Streptophyta; Magnoliopsida; Brassicales; Brassicaceae. The transcript has 4 exons. The record is from RefSeq and is a predicted model, not a curated record.
UUUAGGCGUCCUUACCUGCCACGAGGCAGCAUGCCACUGCUGUUUCGUUUUUUGGUCAUUCUCUUUCCUCUGCUUGAUCCUGCAAGCAACGCUUUGUCGAUCCCGGGGAGACGAAGACGAAGUACUCGAUUCAGGAAUUCGAAUCAAGAGGCGGUGGUGGUGGUGUCUGUGAUUGAUCUCCCCCGGUGUGUCUGGGAGCGGCGGGGGCGAAGGCGGUGGUGCCGCAAUCGCGAUGAUCUUAUUCAGGAAUUCGGUGGCAAGGGGGGAGAUUUAUUGGUGGCGAGGGGGGAGAUUUAUCCGAUUGUUUUGAUUGAUCAUCAGACAAUAAAAGAUUGAAUCUUUGUGAAUCUUCUCUUCUGGGUUUUUGUUUUAUCGUAGAAAGGAUACACACGAUGGAGUCGUUUCUAGUCCAUCAUAUAGUGAUUGUGUUGCUGUUUCUUUGGUUUCUCUCUUGGCUGGAUCGAUCUCACGGCUUUUUCCACUUCAUCUCUCUCAUUUAUCUCUACUUGGUUCAUGAACGGUAUGUGAUGAGAUUGAAGAGACAGUUACAGUUUGAAGAGAGGAAGCAAGCUAAUCAAAGAAGGAAAAAAGCUGUGAUUCAGCACCUUUACAUGGGAAAAAACCGCCUCUCUUGACUGAUAUUAGGGUCCUUCGCCAAUCCAAGGGUGAUGAUCACUUGGUAUAGUGGUACCGGAGCUUGGAAUUAAUUUCCUAGCAGCAUAUGAUAUGAGUGCCAUACUUGCUGUGAAACUAAGGAAAAGGCUUGGUUUUGGGAUGUGGACAAAUUUGAAUUUGACGGGAAUGCAGGUCGAAGGAAAGGUACUAACAACUUUCCUUUGCUUUAUCUAAAUGUGAUCUUCUAAUGUCUAAUUUUGUGACUCAAUGAAAAAUAAACAAUAUCUGUCUCAUUUUAAUGAACGUCUCAGUUUUGUUUUGAUUCUUGAA